This 227-nucleotide ribosomal RNA is filed under the name uncultured bacterium. RNAcentral's name for it is "partial 16S ribosomal RNA". It matches the Rfam family "Bacterial small subunit ribosomal RNA", at positions 95 to 339 of the family's 1533-position model. The record is from RNAcentral.
GCGGCGAACGGCUGCGUAACACGUUGGAACUUUCCCCAGACUCAGGGAUAAUUCUCCGAAAGGAGAACUAAUACCGGAUGGUCUCGUAAGAGUAAAGCUUUUGCGGUCUGGGAGAGGCCUGCGGCCUAUCAGGUAGUUGGUAAGGUAACGGCUUACCAAGCCUAUGACGGGUAGCUGAUCUGAGAGGAUGAUCAGCCAGAAUGGGACUGAGACACGGCCCAUACUCC